GGUCGCCUGUUUAUCAAAAACAUCUCUUCUCGUUAGUUUUUGAAGUAUGGCCUGCCCACUGACCUUGAAUGUUGAAGGGCCGCGGUAUUUUGACCGUGCAAAGGUAGCAUAGUCAUUAGUUCUUUAAUUGUGAUCUGGUAUGAAUGGCUUGACGAGGCAUGAGCUGUCUUAAUUUUGAAUUGUUUAUUGAAUUUGGUCUUUGAGUUAAAAUUCUUAGAUGUUUUUAUGGGACGAGAAGACCCUAUAGAGUUUUACAUUUAUUAUGGUCUCUUUCUGUUUGUGAGGGUUCACUAGGGCUGUUUAAUAUGUUUUGUUGGGGUGAUGGGAGGGAUAUUGUUUAACCCCUCCUUUAUGUUGUUAUAUUUAUUAAUAUUGCUUAUCCAUUUUUUGAUGUAGGAUUAGGCGGUCC
This 409-nucleotide ribosomal RNA is filed under the name Reticulitermes flavipes (eastern subterranean termite). RNAcentral describes it as "partial 16S ribosomal RNA". Lineage: Eukaryota; Metazoa; Arthropoda; Insecta; Blattodea; Rhinotermitidae. The record is from RNAcentral.